This 81-nucleotide small nucleolar RNA is filed under the name Gopherus agassizii (Agassiz's desert tortoise). RNAcentral describes it as "Small nucleolar RNA SNORD126 (ENSGAGG00000004706.1)". The record is from RNAcentral. Lineage: Eukaryota; Metazoa; Chordata; Testudines; Testudinidae.
GGUUUGUGUGUGGGAGAGGCAGCCANGUUCAGUCUGUGUUUCACCUGAAUACCCUGAUUACACACAUGCCCUGAGCAGACU